RNAcentral lists this ribosomal RNA (434 nucleotides) under uncultured bacterium. RNAcentral's name for it is "partial 16S ribosomal RNA". It matches the Rfam family "Bacterial small subunit ribosomal RNA", at positions 29 to 507 of the family's 1533-position model. The record is from RNAcentral.
AGCGAACGCUGGCGGCAGGCCUAACACUUGCCAGUCGAACGAACCUUUCGGGGUUAGUGGCGGACGGGUGAGUAACACGUGGGAACGUGCCUUUAGGUUCGGAAUAACUCAGGGAAACUUGUGCUAAUACCGAAUGUGCCCUUCGGGGGAAAGAUUAAUCGCCUUUAGAGCGGCCCGCGUCUGAUUAGCUAGUUGGUUGAGGUAAUGGCUCACCAAGGCGACGAUCAGUAGCUGGUCUGAGAGGAUGAUCAGCCACAUUGGGACUGAGACACGGCCCAAACUCCUACGGGAGGCAGCAGUGGGGAAUCUUGCGCAAUGGGCGAAAGCCUGACGCAGCCAUGCCGCGUGAAUGAUGAAGGUCUUAGGAUUGUAAAAUUCUUUCACCGGGGACGAUAAUGACGGUACCCGGAGAAGAAGCCCCGGCUAACUUCGUG